UACGUAGGGUGCGAGCGUUGUUCGGAAUCAUUGGGCGUAAAGCGUGAGUAGGUGGUUUGCUAAGUCGGGGUGUGAAAUCCCUGGGCUCAACCCAGGAAGUGCAUUCGAAACUAGCUUGCUUGAAGAUGGUAGAGGAAGGUGGAAUUCCAAGUGUAGAGGUGAAAUUCGUAGAUAUUUGGAGGAAUACCGGCGGCGAAGGCGGCCUCUGGCCAUUCUUGACACUGAGACACGAAAGCGUGGGUAGCAAACAGG
This 252-nucleotide ribosomal RNA is filed under the name uncultured bacterium. RNAcentral's name for it is "partial 16S ribosomal RNA". It matches the Rfam family "Bacterial small subunit ribosomal RNA", at positions 524 to 776 of the family's 1533-position model. The record is from RNAcentral.